AGUGAACGCUGGCGGUAGGCCUAACACAUGCAAGUCGAACGGCAGCACAGUAAGAGCUUGCUCUUACGGGUGGCGAGUGGCGGACGGGUGAGGAAUACAUCGGAAUCUACUUUUUCGUGGGGGAUAACGUAGGGAAACUUACGCUAAUACCGCAUACGACCUACGGGUGAAAGCAGGGGAUCUUCGGACCUUGCGCGAUUGAAUGAGCCGAUGUCGGAUUAGCUAGUUGGCGGGGUAAAGGCCCACCAAGGCGACGAUCCGUAGCUGGUCUGAGAGGAUGAUCAGCCACACUGGAACGGAGCAACGGUCCAGACUCCUACGGGAGGCAGCAGUGGGGAAUACUGGACAAUGGGCGCAAGCCUGAUCCAGCCAUACCGCGUGGGUGAAGAAGGCCUUCGGGUUGUAAAGCCCUUUUGUUGGGAAAGAAAAGCAGCAGGUUAAUACCCCGCUGUUCUGACGGUACCCAAAGAAUAAGCACCGGCUAACUUCGUG
RNAcentral lists this ribosomal RNA (492 nucleotides) under uncultured bacterium. RNAcentral's name for it is "partial 16S ribosomal RNA". It matches the Rfam family "Bacterial small subunit ribosomal RNA", at positions 29 to 507 of the family's 1533-position model. The record is from RNAcentral.